Xenopus tropicalis (tropical clawed frog) is the source of this 560-nucleotide long non-coding RNA. RefSeq lists it as uncharacterized. Lineage: Eukaryota; Metazoa; Chordata; Amphibia; Anura; Pipidae. The transcript is spliced from 2 exons. The record is from RefSeq and is a predicted model, not a curated record.
GUUUUUUACUGUGUCUUGCAGGAAACAGCUCUUGCUGAUAGAACAAAGAGAUAAAGAUUAAUAGCAAAAAGAAUACUGGUUGCAAGCACAGAGGCAGCAUGGAGACAAUCUUAUCCAAAGAGCAGCACAGAAGAAGUAGACAAGAACAGAAUCCAAAAGCUAGGAACAAGGGUGACAAAUACAUUAAAGAAAACGUGGGAUACCAGAUGACAUAAGCUGGAACUAACUUAAUAAUAAGGCCAGGAACUUGGGAAGGACCACAGUCAGACCAGAUUUCUGACUGUACUAGUUCAGCUUAGCUAGACCAUUAGGAUUUCUUUCUUGAUUUAUUGCCCAAUCACAUAGAUUAUUAAAAAAUGAUUGCAAAAGGGUAUCAUCACUGAGUGUAUUUAAAAGGAAAACAAGGGGUAUUAACCUUAUCAAUCCCAGAAGCAUACCAAAGAAGUACAAGAAUCCUAGAGUAUUUAAUAUUCUUUUAUAUUUUGAAAGUAUUUGCAAAUAUUGGAAGAACAUUUUUAAAAUGUGCAUAUUGCAAUAAAAUGCAUAGUCCAACAACAUGA